RNAcentral lists this ribosomal RNA (253 nucleotides) under uncultured bacterium. RNAcentral describes it as "partial 16S ribosomal RNA". It matches the Rfam family "Bacterial small subunit ribosomal RNA", at positions 524 to 776 of the family's 1533-position model. The record is from RNAcentral.
UACGUAGGGGGCAAGCGUUGUCCGGAUUUAUUGGGCGUAAAGAGCGUGUAGGCGGCUUGGUAGGUCCGCUGUGAAAACUCGAGGCUCAACCUCGAGAUGUCGGCGGAAACCACUUGGCUAGAGUCCGGAAGAGGAGAGUGGAAUUCCUGGUGUAGCGGUGAAAUGCGCAGAUAUCUGGAGGAACACCGGUGGCGAAGGCGGCAUCCUGGACCGGCAUUGACGCUGAGGCGCGAAAGCCAGGGGAGCAAACGGG